UACGGGGGGAGCAAGCGUUGUUCGGAUUUACUGGGCGUAAAGGGCGCGUAGGCGGCCUCCGCAAGUCAGUUGUGAAAUCUCCGAGCUUAACUCGGAAAGGUCAACUGAUACUGCGGGGCUAGAGUGCGGAAGGGGUAACUGGAAUUCUUGGUGUAGCGGUGAAAUGCGUAGAUAUCAAGAGGAACACCUGCGGCGAAGGCGGGUUGCUGGGCCGACACUGACGCUGAGGCGCGAAAGCUAGGGGAGCGAACGGG
This 254-nucleotide ribosomal RNA is filed under the name uncultured bacterium. RNAcentral's name for it is "partial 16S ribosomal RNA". It matches the Rfam family "Bacterial small subunit ribosomal RNA", at positions 524 to 776 of the family's 1533-position model. The record is from RNAcentral.